This is a long non-coding RNA of Anopheles gambiae (African malaria mosquito), 2453 nucleotides long. RefSeq lists it as uncharacterized. The record is from RefSeq and is a predicted model, not a curated record. NCBI's taxonomy places the organism in Eukaryota, Metazoa, Arthropoda, Insecta, Diptera, Culicidae. The transcript has 2 exons.
UCGUACACGUUUUGCUCGCAAUGAGCCUUUUGUAAGAGCUAUGUCGUCUUUUAAUAGUACUUCUGAUCUGUUCGAUUUCAACAUAUCCUAUCCUGUCUACCGAUCCCGUCUUCGCUCCUUUUCCGUACCAUAAACUCCUUCCAACUCCUUCGUGAAUAAUUGUACACUAUAGUCAGUAUAGUCAGUCAGUUGGCCGAUCUCGUAGUACAGUCGUCAACUCGUACGACUUAACAACAUGCCCGUCAUGGGUUCAAUCCCCAAAUAGACCGCGCCGCCAUACGUAGGACUGACUAUCCUGCUAUGGGGGGGGGAAUCAAUUAGUCACUGAAAGCCAAGCCCACAAGUGGGUACAGGCAGGCCUUGACCAACAUCGGUUGUUGAGCCAAAGAAGAAGAAGAUAGUCAGUAAGCACUAUUGCUGUAACCCAACGUGGCCGAGCAAUUAAUAAAAUAAAAAAAAUAAAAAAAAAAUACGGGGGAAGCGGGGUUUGAAGUCUUUCGUUCGUCACACACACACAUGCAUUUACCAGCGGAUAUCGCUGGACCGAGUCUACCCAUCUCUCUCGAUCCACCAUGAUUUUUCUGCUAACGCGCUCAUUCGGGUGUUAGGCAUCCUCAGUCUGUUCAGAACUUUCCCUGUGGAAGGAUGUGUUGGAGUGAGGUGCGAUUUCUUGUGCGACGUACUUUGCUCAUUUACGUUUUGUGCCGUGUUGCUUCUUCCUCAGUUAUGGAAUGAUUUAUCCUAGCAAAUUGUUGAGUUACAGGUGUGUGCGCUAUUUAUCAACGACUGCAUGCUGGCCUCGUCAACAAUCUUCAAAGUGAGCGACGGAAAGAAAACGUUUUCCAGUUUUAAAAUAUUAAGAUAAGUUUUGAUCUAAUCCUCUGCGCUAUACUCUCCAUAGUAAUACAUACUACUUACAUUCAUUAUUGCUUCAUUCAGCCCCCGGUGAGGACGUCAUUACUUAACAGAAGCCGGUUCAACACGCGCAGCUCCUGUUCAUGACGUCAUCACUAAAAUGAAGCCAGCUGGACACGCGCAGCACGGAUGGUACCACGAGCGCAGUAGGAGGAAGGAAGAACGAGAGGAGGAAGAACGGUAAAUUUGGAAGGGGCUAAGUGUUCUGCCGUCUACACAGCGGGAGUAUGUUAAAACACAUGUGGGAAGGCAAUCCGAAAAAGGGGGUGGAGCAAACACAUUGGUAUGCGUGAGCGGCUGAAGAAACCAGAACGUUUAGAUGUGUGCGUGACGGAUGGUUCGAGCGCCUGUGGCGAAGAGCGCCUGUGGCCUGUGUGCAGGCGACAAGCCUGCAAACGAGAGCUUUGUGGAGAGCUUUGUAGGGAGAUCAGAUUACACAGGCCGCCGUCGGUUUUUGCGUCCUUGGGAACAUCCCAAGAAUGUGUUUUAGCAUACUCCCGCUGUGUAGACGGCAGAACGCUUUCCCCCUUCCAAAUUUACCGUUCUUCCUUCCUCCUACUGCGCUCGUGGUACCAUCCGUGCUGCGCGUGUUCAGCUGGCUUCAGUUUCGUGAUGACGUCAUGAACAGAAGCUGCGCUUGUUGAACCGGCUUCUGUUAAGUAAUGACGUCCUCACCGGGGGCUGAAUGAAGCAAUAAUGAAUGUAAGUUAUAUGUAUUACUAUGGAGAGUUUAGCGCAGAGGAUUAGAUCAACACUUACCUUAAUAUUUUAAAACUGGAAAAUGUUUUCUUUCCGUCGCUCACUUUGAAGAUUUUUGACGAGGCUAGCAAGUAGUCGUUGAUAAAUAGCGCACACACCUGUAACUUUUUAGACGCCAAAGGUUAAUUGAAUGUACCUGCACAAGCACACAGUAAGAAACUUACCUCAACAAUUUGCUAGGAUAAAUCAUUCCAUAACUGAGGAAGAAGCAACACGGCACAAAACGUAAAUGAGCAAAGUACGUCGCACAAGAAAUCGCACCUCACUCCAACACAUCCUUCCACAGGGAAAGUUCUGGACAGACUGAGGAUGCCUAACACCCGAAUGAGCGCGAUAGCAGAAAAAUCAUGGUGGAUCGAGAGAGAUGGGUAGACUCGGUCCAGCGAUAUCCGCUGGUAAAUGCAUGUGUGUGUGACGAACGAAAGACUUCCAACCCUGCUUCCCCCGUAUUUCAUCCAUAAUUUUUCGUCACACGCACACACCUCUGCACGGGCGGCGGUUUGCCGUCCAAAAUCUAGAGAGAGAAGACAGGGCCUCUCGCUUUGGCACACAGCAAAAUCUCUCAACAACUUCGGCUCUGCUACUUGGGUUGUGCGCUCGGACGAGCAGGUGUUGCGAGCAGCCGGUCGAGCAGGGCUCCCGGCAGGGCACGGUACGGCUGGCGCGCGGCCGAGUAUUUUAGUGUGUAUUGUGCUUGUGAGUUUAUAUUUAUUAUGUGUACUGUUAUAUCAGUGUUUGAAUAAAGUACCUGAUGCAAGCCAAAGACACAACAUCAUAAA